UUCUCUCUUCUUCCUUAUCUAUAUUGUUGGAGGAGAAUCAAGAAUGAGUUGGUCUCUCUGCAGCACCCAUUCCCAUGGGGUCUCCUCUUCCAUUGCUCUCACUUAUGGGUUUCGCCAUAGGAGAUCUACUUUCCGGAUUUGCGCCACUUCUGACCCCAAAGACGAACCGGAAUCUCCUCUCCCUUCCUCAUCCUCUUCCCCCUCUGCUCUCGGUAAAGACUUGAAAAAGGUAGUUAACAAGACUGCAGCAACCUUUGCCCCUAGAGCUUCCACCGCCAGUAAAAACCCAGCUCUCCCUGGAACUACUCUUUACAAAGUUUUUGAGGUUCAAGGCUAUGCCUCAAUGUUGCUCGGAGGUGUCCUUUCUUUCAACCUCCUCUUUCCCUCCAAUGAACCUGAUUUAUGGAGGUUGAUGGGGAUGUGGUCCAUUUGGAUGUUCACUAUUCCUUCUCUUCGAGCACGAGACUGUCCACUUAAAGAGAAAGAGGCUCUUAACUACCUAUUUAUGAUCAUCCCGUUGCUCAAUGUUGCUAUUCCCUUCUUUUGGAAGUCAUUUGCUCUUGUCUGGUCUGCUGACACUGUUACCUUCUUUGCAAUGUAUGCCUGGAAGCUUGGAUGGCUGGAAAGCACAGAGUAGGGACUACUCUUGAAUCAUGAAGAUUCUUUGUCUUCUCUUCCUUAGAACGAUUCUUCAUUCGGCUUCUCUAUGGAAUGAAGCCUAUCGUGUUAGUAGGGGGCCCAGACGUCUCUGAGGCGGUGAUGGUUUCCCUGCUUCAGGCUGAGUGACUUGUUGCUUAGGGCUCGGCUCACCCAGGAUGCUCUUUUCCACCUUCUCCUGUAACCUCUUAUUUGGGCCGUUACUACCAUUAGCUAGUGUUAUCAUUGUCUCUCUCUCUGAUUCUUGGCUUGACGAGCCAGGGGAAUUGUUCUUGCAUUUGUCGUCAUCCUCAGAGUCUUCUAAUUGCUUGAAAUGAAUAGUGAUGUCAGACAUUGAUCCCUUCUUGAUUAGUUUGUUCCUCU
Arabidopsis lyrata subsp. lyrata is the source of this 1020-nucleotide RNA transcript. RefSeq lists it as uncharacterized. The record is from RefSeq and is a predicted model, not a curated record. NCBI's taxonomy places the organism in Eukaryota, Viridiplantae, Streptophyta, Magnoliopsida, Brassicales, Brassicaceae. The transcript is spliced from 5 exons.